Molecule: ribosomal RNA, 254 nt
Filed under: uncultured bacterium
Lineage: Bacteria
Description: partial 16S ribosomal RNA
Rfam family: Bacterial small subunit ribosomal RNA
Source: RNAcentral
UACGUAGGGUCCGAGCGUUGUCCGGAAUUACUGGGCGUAAAGAGCUCGUAGGCGGCUUGUCGCGUCGACUGUGAAAACCCGUGGCUCAACCAUGUGGUCUGCAGUCGAUACGGGCAGGCUAGAAUUCGGUAGGGGAGACUGGAAUUCCUGGUGUAGCGGUGAAAUGCGCAGAUAUCAGGAGGAACACCGGUGGCGAAGGCGGGUCUCUGGGCCGAUAUUGACGCUGAGGAGCGAAAGCGUGGGGAGCGAACAGG